CCUUUUCACUAAAACCCCAUAAGUUAUUACAAAUUAUUAUAGACUAGAAUGAAUAAACAAACGUAAAAUGAAAUUACAUCAGAAAGCUAAUAAUCCCAAUCAAGGAGAGCCUGAUUCAGACUUUUGUCUGAAGCUUGAAGCAAACCAACUCCAAAUGUCCAAGUUUGGAGGGAGCUAAAGGUCCCAAAACAAGGCUUAUAGGAUGAGGUUCUAAGAGAGAUGCAAGUGCGUAUAGGGGAUUUGGGGAAAGCCAAUAUAGGUUGAUGGUCAUACCCAUCAAUUAAAAGUGCUGGCACGCCCCGACCAGUAUGUUAGCUACAUUGUUUGGGAGUUAGAAUCCAUUAAAGGAUCAAGUCCAGAUAUUAGAAACAAUUGUGACGUUGCUAUGCUUUGAACUAUAACUCAAACACAUAGAAGGGAAUGGGGGUAUAGGGGUUCUCAAUAGCAAAAGAUGCAAAGAGAACAUCAUAUACAAUACUGAGCAUAAACAUCAAAAUAGACAAGAUUGUAGAAGCUGUAAAGAAAACACAUGGGGAUGAGGCAGAAAACUAAAUUAGAACUUACCGGUUUCAGGGAAACAAGAAGAGAAAGUAGUGGUCUUGUAAAGCCAAAUUGCAAGCAAAUAGUCAGAAAAUCUUAGAAGUAAGCUAUGAGAUUAUGGGUGUAAAAAUAUGGAAAUGGAAGGUGUUUAUUAAGUAAAGUGUGUGUUCAAAGUGCAGAAGGGUCGUGCCCUUUAUUACGCAGAAAGCAAGUAGAAAUAGGUAAGAAAAUAGUUUUGAAAUCCAUUACAUAUGUUCUCCUUCAAUUAAGGGAUUCUAAUUCAAACGGGACAAAAAUAAUUAAGGAAAGGGGUUAAUCAACAUUUUUCCAAAGCAGCACGAGAAGGGUAAGUACACAGAGACUUAUUAAAGGAAAAAGUCUGAUAGCACAUGGUUUGUGCAAAUAAGGAAAGGCAACCACUCAACAGCCAACAACAACAACUACCCAGUAUACUCCCACC
Molecule: long non-coding RNA, 1000 nt
Filed under: Nicotiana benthamiana
Lineage: Eukaryota; Viridiplantae; Streptophyta; Magnoliopsida; Solanales; Solanaceae
Description: long non-coding RNA (NBEN_LNC005315)
Source: RNAcentral